UAAGGUGGUUAUGGCAACGGGGCUCACCUCUUCCCAUUCCGAACAGAGAAGUUAAGCCCGUUAGCGCAGAUGGUACUGCUAAUUGUGGGAGAGUAUGUCGCCGCCUUUU
Molecule: ribosomal RNA, 109 nt
Filed under: Mesonia algae
Lineage: Bacteria; Pseudomonadati; Bacteroidota; Flavobacteriia; Flavobacteriales; Flavobacteriaceae
Also listed under: 1 other name
Source: RNAcentral